Molecule: ribosomal RNA, 250 nt
Filed under: uncultured bacterium
Lineage: Bacteria
Description: partial 16S ribosomal RNA
Rfam family: Bacterial small subunit ribosomal RNA
Source: RNAcentral
GACGGAGGGUGCAAGCGUUGUUCGGAAUCACUGGGCGUAAAGCGCGUGUAGGCGGUUGAAUAAGUCGGAUGUGAAAGCCCGGAGCUCAACUCCGGAAGUGCAUUCGAAACUGUUCAGCUCGAGUACGGGAGAGGGAAGUGGAAUUCCUGGUGUAGAGGUGAAAUUCGUAGAUAUCAGGAGGAACACCGGUGGCGAAGGCGGCUUCCUGGACCGAUACUGACGCUGAGACGCGAAAGCGUGGGGAGCAAAC